Molecule: ribosomal RNA, 380 nt
Filed under: uncultured bacterium
Lineage: Bacteria
Description: bacterial SSU rRNA
Rfam family: Bacterial small subunit ribosomal RNA
Source: RNAcentral
AAUGAACGCUGGCGGCGUGCCUAACACAUACAAGUCGGAUGUGCCCGCAAGGGUGCAUGGCAGACGGGUGAGUAACGCGUGGGGAAUCUACCUUUUAGUGGGGAAUAACGCUCCGAAAGGAGUGGUAAUACCGCAUGUGACCAUCGGCUGGGAUGCUGAUGGUGAAACCCCUGGGACCUUCGGGCCGAGGGCGUAAAGAGGAUCCCUGCGUCUGAUUAGCUAGUUGGCGGGGUAACGGGCCCACCCAACGGCGGACGAUCAGUAGCCGGCCCUGAGAGGGUGGAUCGGCCACACUGGAACUGAGACACGGUCCAGACUCCUACCGGGAGGGCAGCAGUGGGGAAGUUUUGGUACAAUGGGCGGAAAGACCUGAUCCAGCC